RNAcentral lists this ribosomal RNA (494 nucleotides) under uncultured bacterium. RNAcentral's name for it is "bacterial SSU rRNA". It matches the Rfam family "Bacterial small subunit ribosomal RNA", at positions 1010 to 1504 of the family's 1533-position model. The record is from RNAcentral.
AGGAGUGCUCGAAAGAGAACCGUAACACAGGUGCUGCAUGGCUGUCGUCAGCUCGUGUCGUGAGAUGUUGGGUUAAGUCCCGCAACGAGCGCAACCCUUGUCAUUAGUUGCUACAUUUAGUUGGGCACUCUAAUGAGACUGCCGGUGACAAACCGGAGGAAGGUGGGGAUGACGUCAAGUCCUCAUGGCCCUUAUAGGUGGGGCUACACACGUCAUACAAUGGAUGGUACAAAGGGUCGCCAACCCGCGAGGGGGAGCCAAUCCCAUAAAGCCAUUCGUAGUCCGGAUCGUAGUCUGCAACUCGACUACGUGAAGUCGGAAUCGCUAGUAAUCGUGGAUCAGAAUGUCACGGUGAAUACGUUCCCGGGUCUUGUACACACCGCCCGUCACACCAUGGGAGCGGGUUCUGCCAUAAGUAGUUAGCCUAACCGCAAGGAGGGCGAUUACCACGGCAGGGUUCGUGACUGGGGUGAAGUCGUAACAAGGUAGCCGUA